AAGAUGAUACAGAACCAUAAACUUUGGUCUUGGUAGAGCUACACCUUCACCUCUGCCAGUUUUGCAGUGGUGUUUGCAGCUGGACCAGGACCAUUAUCCAACUCAGCUUGGCACGGCUCAAGUGCACAACUGCAACCUUUUCCAUGACCCAAAAGUCAGUGCCACUCUGUGGGCUGGCAGUUUGCAAAUAAAACAUAUCCUUAAUGAAGUGUGGAAGCUCCUGUUCUUUCCCUUCCUCAAGAGACGUGCCUUAAUCUCUGGCUCAGAGCCUUGUCAAAUGCUGCAGUACAGAACUGGCAAGCUCAACGCUGCUAAUGGAUUGAAACCUUCACCAGGUUGUUCAUUUCUAGAGGGGCUUCUGAGGAGUAAUGACAACGUUAUUGUGCAGAAUUACCUGCUGUGGUUUAAAAAAUGCACCUGCCAGUGUGAAAAUCUGGGAAUCUGGUGAUGGCAGGUUUGAAAAGAGUUCAGCAGCCCAGUGUUACCCUGUGAAAAGCAACAGAGCACAAGCUCCUGUCUGAUUCAGUCUUACACUUUUGAUGUCUCAAACAAAGGUCAGCACCUUCACAAGGCUCACAUUGACAAGUGGAUGAGACAAGCAAGUGGGCUGGAGAAGACAUCUGCCUCCAAUAUCCUGAUGGACCUCGAGGACCUGUGUGU
Molecule: long non-coding RNA, 660 nt
Organism: Zonotrichia albicollis (white-throated sparrow)
Lineage: Eukaryota; Metazoa; Chordata; Aves; Passeriformes; Passerellidae
Source: RefSeq, a predicted model, not a curated record